Molecule: ribosomal RNA, 773 nt
Filed under: Haptolina hirta
Lineage: Eukaryota; Haptophyta; Prymnesiales; Prymnesiaceae
Description: bacterial SSU rRNA
Rfam family: Bacterial small subunit ribosomal RNA
Source: RNAcentral
UAUACGGGGGAUGCAAGCGUUAUCCGGAAUCAUUGGGCGUAAAGCGCCUGUAGGUUGUUUAAUAAGUCUGUUGUUAAAGACUAGGGCUCAACCCUAGAAAAGCAAUGGAAACUACUAGACUAGAGUAUGGCAGGGGUAGAGGGAAUUUCUAGUGUAGCGGUGAAAUGCGUAGAUAUUAGAAAGAACACCAGUGGCGAAAGCGCUCUACUGGACCAUUACUGACACUCAGAGGCGAAAGCUAGGGUAGCAAAAGGGAUUAGAUACCCCUGUAGUCCUAGCCGUAAACGAUGGAUACUAGAUGUUGUAUUUAUUUUACAGUAUCGUAGCUAACGCGUUAAGUAUCCCGCCUGGGGAGUACGCUCGCAAGGGUGAAACUCAAAGGAAUUGACGGGGGCCCGCACAAGCGGUGGAGCAUGUGGUUUAAUUCGAUGCAACGCGAAGAACCUUACCAGGGCUUGACAUACUGCGAAUCUUUUUGAAAAGAAAGAGUGCCUUCGGGAAUGCAGAUACAGGUGGUGCAUGGCUGUCGUCAGCUCGUGUCGUGAGAUGUUGGGUUAAGUCCCGCAACGAGCGCAACCCUUGUUUUUAGUUACCAAUUCGUUGGGUUUUCUAGAAAGACUGCCGGUGACAAACCGGAGGAAGGUGAGGAUGACGUCAAGUCAGCAUGCCCCUUAUGUCCUGGGCUACACACGUGCUACAAUGGUUAGGACAAAGAGUUGCAAAUUUGCAAAAAUUAGCUAAUCUCGUAAACCUAGCCUAAGUUCAGAUUGUAG